AGUGAACGCUGGCGGUAGGCCUAACACAUGCAAGUCGAACGGCAGCACAGUAAGAGCUUGCUCUUACGGGUGGCGAGUGGCGGACGGGUGAGGAAUACAUCGGAAUCUACUUUUUCGUGGGGGAUAACGUAGGGAAACUUACGCUAAUACCGCAUACGACCUACGGGUGAAAGUAGGGGAUCUUCGGACCUUGCGCGAUUGAAUGAGCCGAUGUCGGAUUAGCUAGUUGGCGGGGUAAAGGCCCACCAAGGCGACGAUCCGUAGCUGGUCUGAGAGGAUGAUCAGCCACACUGGAACUGAGACACGGUCCAGACUCCUACGGGAGGCAGCAGUGGGGAAUAUUGGACAAUGGGCGCAAGCCUGAUCCAGCGAUACCGCGUGGGUGAAGAAGGCCUUCGGGUUGUAAAGCCCUUUUGUUGGGAAAGAAAAGCAGCAGGUUAAUACCCCGCUGUUCUGACGGUACCCAAAGAAUAAGCACCGGCUAACUUCGUG
Molecule: ribosomal RNA, 492 nt
Filed under: uncultured bacterium
Lineage: Bacteria
Description: partial 16S ribosomal RNA
Rfam family: Bacterial small subunit ribosomal RNA
Source: RNAcentral